CCUACGGGAGGCAGCAGUGAGGAAUAUUGGUCAAUGGCCGUAAGGCUGAACCAGCCAAGUCGCGUGAAGGAAGAAGGAUCUAUGGUUGUUAAACUUCUUGUAGAGGGGAGUAAAGGUAUCCACGUGUGGAUGUUUGCAUGGACCCUAUGAAUAAGCAUCGGCUAACUCCAUGCCAGCAGCGGCGGUAAUACGGAGUAUGCGAGCGUUAUCCGGAUUUAGUGGGGUUAAAGGGUGCGUAGGUUGUUUUGUAAGUUAGUGGUGAAAGUUUGUGGUUUAACCAUAAACUUGCCGUUGAAACUGGAAGACUUGAGUGUGUUUGAGGCAGGCGGAAUGCGUGGUGUAGCGGUGAAAUGCAUAGAUAUCACGCAGAACUCCGAUUGCGAAGGCAGCUUACUAAGCCAUAACUGACACUGAAGCACGAAAGCGUGGGGAUCAAACAGGAUUAGAUACCCCGGUAGUC
Molecule: ribosomal RNA, 460 nt
Filed under: uncultured bacterium
Lineage: Bacteria
Description: partial 16S ribosomal RNA
Rfam family: Bacterial small subunit ribosomal RNA
Source: RNAcentral